This 422-nucleotide ribosomal RNA is filed under the name uncultured bacterium. RNAcentral's name for it is "bacterial SSU rRNA". It matches the Rfam family "Bacterial small subunit ribosomal RNA", at positions 917 to 1338 of the family's 1533-position model. The record is from RNAcentral.
GGGCCCGCACAAGUGGUGGAGCAUGUGGUUUAAUUCGAUGCAACGCGAAGAACCUUACCAACCCUUGAAAUCUAGCGAAGUUCACAGAGAUGAGAAUGUGCCUUCGGGAACGCUAUGACAGGUGUUGCAUGGCUGUCGUCAGCUCGUGUCGUGAGAUGUAUGGUUAAGUCCAGUAACGAGCGCAACCCCUAUCCUUAUUUGCCAGCGCGUUAAGGCGGGAACUAUAGGGAGACUGCCGGGUGAAACCCGGAGGAAGGCGGGGACGAGGUCAAGUCAUCAUGGCCCUUAUGUCCAGGGCUGCACGCAUGCUACAAUGGCAAGUACAACGAGUCGCAAUACCGCGAGGUGGAGCAAAUCUCUUAAAGCUUGUCUCAGUUCGGAUAGGAGUCUGCAACUCGACUCCUUGAAGUUGGAGUCGCUAG